CAACGAUGAAGAGUUUGAUCCUGGCUCAGGAUGAACGCUAGCGGCAGGCCUAACACAUGCAAGUCGAGGGGUAACAGGGAAGAGCUUGCUCUUUCGCUGACGACCGGCGCACGGGUGCGUAACGCGUAUACAACCUACCUUUUGGAGGGGAAUAGCCCAGGGAAACUUGGAUUAAUGCCCCAUAGUAUGGGAAUAUCUCCUGAUAUUUUCAUUAAACAUUUAUGGCCAUUAGAUGGGUAUGCGUCCUAUUAGUUAGUUGGUAAGGUAACGGCUUACCAAGGCAGCGAUAGGUAGGGGUCCUGAGAGGGAGAUCCCCCACACUGGUACUGAGACACGGACCAGACUCCUACGGGAGGCAGCAGUGAGGAAUAUUGGACAAUGGGCGAGAGCCUGAUCCAGCCAUGCCGCGUGCAGGAAGACUGCCCUAUGGGUUGUAAACUGCUUUUACAGAGGAAGAACCACUCCCACGUGUGGGAGUUUGACGGUACUCUGCGAAUAAGGAUCGGCUAACUCCGUGCCAGCAGCCGCGGUAAUACGGAGGAUCCAAGCGUUAUCCGGAAUCAUUGGGUUUAAAGGGUCCGUAGGCGGGCAGUUAAGUCAGUGGUGAAAGUCUUCCGCUCAACGGGAGAACUGCCAUUGAUACUGAUUGUCUUGAGUUAUUAUGAAGUGGUUAGAAUGAGUAGUGUAGCGGUGAAAUGCAUAGAUAUUACUCAGAAUACCGAUUGCGAAGGCAGAUCACUAAUAAUAUACUGACGCUGAUGGACGAAAGCGUAGGUAGCGAACAGGAUUAGAUACCCUGGUAGUCUACGCCGUAAACGAUGGUUACUAGCUGUUCGGCCCGAUUAAGGGCUGAGUGGUUAAGCGAAAGUGAUAAGUAACCCACCUGGGGAGUACGUUCGCAAGAAUGAAACUCAAAGGAAUUGACGGGGGCCCGCACAAGCGGUGGAGCAUGUGGUUUAAUUCGAUGAUACGCGAGGAACCUUACCAGGGCUUAAAUGUAGUCUGACA
RNAcentral lists this ribosomal RNA (1008 nucleotides) under Salegentibacter agarivorans. Its description in RNAcentral is "bacterial SSU rRNA". It matches the Rfam family "Bacterial small subunit ribosomal RNA", at positions 1 to 997 of the family's 1533-position model. Lineage: Bacteria; Pseudomonadati; Bacteroidota; Flavobacteriia; Flavobacteriales; Flavobacteriaceae. The record is from RNAcentral.